Molecule: unclassified non-coding RNA, 484 nt
Filed under: Hevea brasiliensis (rubber tree)
Lineage: Eukaryota; Viridiplantae; Streptophyta; Magnoliopsida; Malpighiales; Euphorbiaceae
Source: RNAcentral
UCAAUAAUAAUAAUAAUAAUAAUGCACUUACAUUUUCUGGUUGUGAAUCAAUGGGGACAUGCAGUGGUGAAGUUAAGGAUGCAAUGACGACAGAAACAACCUAUGAGAGUGAGAUGACAUUUGGGUACCAGGAUGCCUCCGAUCAGUAUGCGCAAUAUUUCACGGAUGGAUUCUCCAAUUUUUUUAUUGGCGAUUCACAUGUGGUAUCUGCUUGCAGUGGAGAUUCGCAUGAAGGCAAGGUUUUUGAAGAAGAUACGUACUCUUGGAAUAAUGGCCAUCUUUUUGAGAAUUAUCAACCGCUGGAUUCUCAUAUCUUUUGAGUUUAUGUAAUUCUAUAAAAAUUAAUAUAUAAAAUCUUAAUUAUUCGGGAACAAUGUGUCUUCAAUAUAUUAAUACUCAUGGCUAAAAUAACAAUUAAUACAAGUUAUUGAUACCUCUCAGUCAAAGGAGGAAUGUCAUUUUCAUGUCAGGAGAACGCAAUAGG